This 1281-nucleotide long non-coding RNA is filed under the name Oreochromis niloticus (Nile tilapia). RNAcentral describes it as "lncRNA (ENSONIG00000025789.2)". Lineage: Eukaryota; Metazoa; Chordata; Actinopteri; Cichliformes; Cichlidae. The record is from RNAcentral.
UGUAUCUAUUAUUGCACGAUCUACUGUGCAAUAUAAAGCGCCUUGAGGCGACUGUUGUUGUGAUUUGGUGCUAUAUAAAUAAAAUUGAAUUGAAUUGAAUAACUGUUCACUGGCAUUUAAAAGUUCAGUUCUUAUUUAAAAAUGUACAUAUUUUUAUUUUAUAUUUUAUGCUUUACAAUUUUAGUUUUAAUGUUGUUUACUCCAAACAGUGAUGGCAACAGCAGUUUUGGCCAGAAGCAGAGGUGUUUUCAGCACCAUCAAAGUCCUGUUCCUCAUGUUCACCCUGCUGUGUCUCAUUUGCCUUUCAACUUCACUGACAAACAAGAACCAACUGGAGUACAAGUCAGACAUGUUGAAAGCUUCAGAGCUGGUAGAUGAUUAUCUGGCUGUCAUCGACCCAGUGAUAGCAGUGUUCAAGAAAACUGAUGCGCUGGUUGGUGAAACAGAUCCUGACACAGAUAUGGAGGACCUUAAGGUUUCCAUGGAAGAAACCAAAGCUGAAAUAGACCUCAUAAAUGAAGAGCUUGAUGAAGGAAUUACAUUGAAGGAAAAGCAACUAAGAAAGAUGAAGACAUUGAUCGAAUACAUUGAGGAGCAGCACACUGAACUGUAACUUUUAUGUAAACCGAUAAAAGUUAUGAUUCACAUGUGCUGCACACCUUUUACUAGAACUUCCUUUGAAACUAUGAAUUAUUUUUGCCUGUUUGAAAACUUGUAGUGAAUACAUUGAUACAAUUUAAAUACAACUAUCAAAAUAUUUGAAAAUAUAAACAAUGUCAAUGUAAAAUAAUACAAAAUAAAAACAUUUACUUUAUAUUGAUAUUCUGUUACUUAUGUCAGCGACAGACAAAACUAAUGACAGACAUCUUGACCUGGCAUAGGUUCAAUUGUCCUGGUAAGGCAUGAAAGUGAACUGCUCCCAAACAGAAUAUUUUUUCUGAAAUCUCUACGCCAUAAAUACAUUCCUGUUUUUGUCUUCUGUAAUGUCAGCUAUGAAAAUGGUCUAUACAUGAAUAACUAAGUUUUGUCUUCUAUAUUAGAUAAUAGAAACUGGGAUAAAUUAUAGGGUUUGUCUUCUUUUUAAGAAAUUGUUAAAACAUUCUGUACAUGAUUAGAUAAAUGCAUCUGUUCUGUGAAUAAAUGAAGGUUUCUUUAAAUUGUCUUACAUGUCUUUGAAAGACUGAAAUCCGCAACAGAUUGCAAAUCUAAAUCUAUGUUAGCUUAAGCCAUCUGAUCAGACCACUGAGGCUUGAGGGGAAAGCAAGAAGAAAGAAGAGAAAG